UGCCAUGCUCACAACUCCACGGGUUUC
RNAcentral lists this non-coding RNA (27 nucleotides) under Mus musculus (house mouse). Lineage: Eukaryota; Metazoa; Chordata; Mammalia; Rodentia; Muridae. The record is from RNAcentral.